Molecule: ribosomal RNA, 253 nt
Filed under: uncultured bacterium
Lineage: Bacteria
Description: partial 16S ribosomal RNA
Rfam family: Bacterial small subunit ribosomal RNA
Source: RNAcentral
UACGUAGGGUGCAAGCGUUAAUCGGAAUUACUGGGCGUAAAGCGUGCGCAGGCGGUUAUGUAAGACAGUUGUGAAAUCCCCGGGCUCAACCUGGGAACUGCAUCUGUGACUGCAUAGCUAGAGUACGGUAGAGGGGGAUGGAAUUCCGCGUGUAGCAGUGAAAUGCGUAGAUAUGCGGAGGGACACCGAUGGCGAAGGCAAUCCCCUGGACCUGUACUGACGCUCAUGCACGAAAGCGUGGGGAGCAAACAGG